This 354-nucleotide ribosomal RNA is filed under the name uncultured Frankia sp. RNAcentral's name for it is "bacterial SSU rRNA". It matches the Rfam family "Bacterial small subunit ribosomal RNA", at positions 34 to 398 of the family's 1533-position model. Lineage: Bacteria; Bacillati; Actinomycetota; Actinomycetes; Frankiales; Frankiaceae. The record is from RNAcentral.
CGCUGGCGGCGUGCUUAACACAUGCAAGUCGAGCGAGGAACUUCGGUUCCUAGCGGCGAACGGGUGAGUAACACGUGGGCAACCUGCCCCGAGCUCUGGGAUAACUUCGGGAAACCGGGGCUAAUACCGGAUAUGACACUACUGGACAUCUGGUGGUGUGGAAAGAUUUAUCGGCUUGGGAUGGGCCCGCGGCCUAUCAGCUUGUUGGUGGGGUAACGGCCUACCAAGGCGACGACGGGUAGCCGGCCUGAGAGGGCGAUCGGCCACACUGGGACUGAGACACGGCCCAGACUCCUACGGGAGGCAGCAGUGGGGAAUAUUGCGCAAUGGGCGGAAGCCUGACGCAGCGACGCC